UACGUAGGGUGCAAGCGUUAAUCGGAAUUACUGGGCGUAAAGCGUGCGCAGGCGGUUGUGUAAGACAGAUGUGAAAUCCCCGGGCUUAACCUGGGAACUGCAUUUGUGACUGCACAGCUAGAGUACGGCAGAGGGGGAUGGAAUUCCGCGUGUAGCAGUGAAAUGCGUAGAUAUGCGGAGGAACACCGAUGGCGAAGGCAAUCCCCUGGACCUGUACUGACGCUGAGGUGCGAAAGCGUGGGGAGCAAACAGG
RNAcentral lists this ribosomal RNA (253 nucleotides) under uncultured bacterium. Its description in RNAcentral is "partial 16S ribosomal RNA". It matches the Rfam family "Bacterial small subunit ribosomal RNA", at positions 524 to 776 of the family's 1533-position model. The record is from RNAcentral.